GAGUUUGAUCCUGGCUCAGGAUGAACGCCGGCGGUGUGCCUAAUACAUGCAAGUCGUACGCACUGGCCCAACUGAUUGAUGGUGCUUGCACCUGAUUGACGAUGGAUCACCGGUGAGUGGCGGGACGGGUGAGUAACACGUAGGUAACCUGCCCCGGAGCGGGGGAUAACAUUUGGAAACAGAUGCUAAUACCGCAUAACAACAAAGGCCACAUGGCUUUUGUUUGAAAGAUGGCUUUGGCCAUCACUCUGGGAUGGACCUGCGGUGCAUCAGCUAGUUGGUAAGGUAACGGCUUACCAAGGCGAUGAUGCAUAGCCGAGUUGAGAGACUGAUCGGCCACAAUGGAACUGAGACACGGUCAUACUCCGUACGGGAGCAGC
RNAcentral lists this ribosomal RNA (380 nucleotides) under uncultured microorganism. RNAcentral's name for it is "bacterial SSU rRNA". It matches the Rfam family "Bacterial small subunit ribosomal RNA", at positions 9 to 352 of the family's 1533-position model. The record is from RNAcentral.